Molecule: transfer RNA, 74 nt
Filed under: Chromochloris zofingiensis
Lineage: Eukaryota; Viridiplantae; Chlorophyta; Chlorophyceae; Sphaeropleales; Chromochloridaceae
Description: tRNA-Gly
Rfam family: tRNA
About the family: Transfer RNA (tRNA) molecules are approximately 80 nucleotides in length. Their secondary structure includes four short double-helical elements and three loops (D, anti-codon, and T loops). Further hydrogen bonds mediate the characteristic L-shaped molecular structure. tRNAs have two regions of fundamental functional importance: the anti-codon, which is responsible for specific mRNA codon recognition, and the 3' end, to which the tRNAs corresponding amino acid is attached (by aminoacyl-tRNA synthetases). tRNAs cope with the degeneracy of the genetic code in two manners: having more than one tRNA (with a specific anti-codon) for a particular amino acid; and 'wobble' base-pairing, i.e. permitting non-standard base-pairing at the 3rd anti-codon position.
Source: RNAcentral
GCGGGUGUAGCUCCAAUUGGAAAGAGCAAUUGAUUUCCACUCAAUAGGUUGUGGGUUCAAAUCCCACUACCCGC